UAUUAAGUGGCUGAAACCAAAUAAGCACUAGACUUUUAAUCUAGCUAUGAUUAUAUAAUCCUUAAUUG
RNAcentral lists this transfer RNA (68 nucleotides) under Octopus vulgaris (common octopus). Its description in RNAcentral is "tRNA-Lys". The record is from RNAcentral. Lineage: Eukaryota; Metazoa; Mollusca; Cephalopoda; Octopoda; Octopodidae. RNAcentral also lists the same sequence under 1 other name.